RNAcentral lists this ribosomal RNA (465 nucleotides) under uncultured bacterium. RNAcentral describes it as "partial 16S ribosomal RNA". It matches the Rfam family "Bacterial small subunit ribosomal RNA", at positions 338 to 795 of the family's 1533-position model. The record is from RNAcentral.
CCUACGGGAGGCAGCAGUGGGGAAUAUUGCGCAAUGGGCGAAAGCCUGACGCAGCGACGCCGCGUGAGGGAUGAAGGUCUUCGGAUCGUAAACCUCUGUCAGCAGGGAAGAACGGUCACUGUGCUAAUCAGCAGUGAAUUGACGGUACCUGCAAAGGAAGCACCGGCUAACUCCGUGCCAGCAGCCGCGGUAAUACGGAGGGUGCGAGCGUUAAUCGGAAUUACUGGGCGUAAAGCGCUCGUAGGCGGUAUGUCAAGUCAAGGGUGAAAUCCCCGCGCUCAACGUGGGAACUGCCAUUGAAACUGGCAAACUGGAGUGUGUGAGAGGAUAGUGGAAUUCCAGGUGUAGGAGUGAAAGCCGUAGAUAUCUGGAGGAACAUCAGUGGCGAAGGCGACUAUCUGGCACAUAACUGACGCUGAGGAGCGAAAGCGUGGGUAGCAAACAGGAUUAGAUACCCUAGUAGUC